This 70-nucleotide microRNA precursor is filed under the name Choloepus hoffmanni (Hoffmann's two-fingered sloth). RNAcentral's name for it is "miRNA (ENSCHOG00000015078.1)". The record is from RNAcentral. Lineage: Eukaryota; Metazoa; Chordata; Mammalia; Pilosa; Megalonychidae.
AUUAAGUGUCAGGUGCUUCUGGGACCAGAAUUUAUAAACCCAGCCUACUGCAGUGACAGCACUUGUCACA